CCUACGGGAGGCAGCAGUGAGGAAUAUUGGUCAAUGGGCGGGAGCCUGAACCAGCCAAGCCGCGUGAGGGAAGAAGGUACAGCGUAUCGUAAACCUCUUUUGUCAGGGAACAAAGGCGGGCACUAGUCCCCGGAUGCGUGUACCUGAUGAAAAAGGAUCGGCUAACUCCGUGCCAGCAGCCGCGGUAAUACGGAGGAUGCGAGGGUUAUCCGGAUUUGUGGGGUUUAAAGGGUGCGCAGGCGGCCUGUUAAGUCAGCGGUAAAAGCCCGGGGCUCAACCCAGAAGAGCCGUUGAAACCGGCGGGCUGGAGUUGGAGAGAGGUACGCGGAAUGCGCGGUGUAGCGGUGAAAUGCUUAGAUAUCGCGCAGAACCCCGAUUGCGAAGGCAGCGUACCGGCUCCACACUGACGCUGAGGCUCGAAAGCGUGGGUAUCGAACAGGAUUAGAUACCCCGGUAGUC
Molecule: ribosomal RNA, 459 nt
Filed under: uncultured bacterium
Lineage: Bacteria
Description: partial 16S ribosomal RNA
Rfam family: Bacterial small subunit ribosomal RNA
Source: RNAcentral